GUUCCGUUCGCAACAAUCGCAUGGCAGAGGCGGGGGAACCAAUUGUGGGCUUCUUCUUGAAGUCCUUGGGGUUAAGUCGCUGGAUCUGAGACGAUCCGCGGCCGGGUGACUCCCAUCCGAAUCCGACAGCUCACCUCGCAGGCGUAGGGAGAGGCAAU
Molecule: small RNA, 158 nt
Filed under: Arthrobacter sp.
Lineage: Bacteria; Bacillati; Actinomycetota; Actinomycetes; Micrococcales; Micrococcaceae
Description: c-di-AMP sequence
Rfam family: c-di-AMP riboswitch aptamer (ydaO/yuaA leader)
About the family: This family represents a conserved RNA structure found upstream of the ydaO and yuaA genes in Bacillus subtilis and related genes in other bacteria. The ydaO/yuaA element is thought to act as a genetic "off" switch for the ydaO and yuaA genes in its native state.
Source: RNAcentral